RNAcentral lists this ribosomal RNA (466 nucleotides) under Vreelandella stevensii. RNAcentral's name for it is "partial 16S ribosomal RNA". It matches the Rfam family "Bacterial small subunit ribosomal RNA", at positions 338 to 796 of the family's 1533-position model. Lineage: Bacteria; Pseudomonadati; Pseudomonadota; Gammaproteobacteria; Oceanospirillales; Halomonadaceae. The record is from RNAcentral.
CCUACGGGUGGCUGCAGUGGGGAAUAUUGGACAAUGGGCGAAAGCCUGAUCCAGCCAUGCCGCGUGUGUGAAGAAGGCCUUCGGGUUGUAAAGCACUUUCAGUGGGGAAGAAAGCCUUGGGGCUAAUACCCUCGAGGAAGGACAUCACCCACAGAAGAAGCACCGGCUAACUCCGUGCCAGCAGCCGCGGUAAUACGGAGGGUGCGAGCGUUAAUCGGAAUUACUGGGCGUAAAGCGCGCGUAGGCGGUCUGAUAAGCCGGUUGUGAAAGCCCCGGGCUCAACCUGGGAACGGCAUCCGGAACUGUCAGGCUAGAGUGCAGGAGAGGAAGGUAGAAUUCCCGGUGUAGCGGUGAAAUGCGUAGAGAUCGGGAGGAAUACCAGUGGCGAAGGCGGCCUUCUGGACUGACACUGACGCUGAGGUGCGAAAGCGUGGGUAGCAAACAGGAUUAGAUACCCUUGUAGUUC